RNAcentral lists this ribosomal RNA (497 nucleotides) under uncultured bacterium. RNAcentral describes it as "partial 16S ribosomal RNA". It matches the Rfam family "Bacterial small subunit ribosomal RNA", at positions 28 to 507 of the family's 1533-position model. The record is from RNAcentral.
GAUGAACGCUGGCGGCGUGCCUAAUACAUGCAAGUCGAGCGAACGGACGAGAAGCUGGCUUCUCUGAUGUUUGCGGCGGGGGGGUGUGUAGCACGUGGAUAACCUAUCUAUAAGGCGGGGAAAACUUCGGGAAGCCGGCUCUAAUACCGUAUAAUAUUUUGAACCGCAUGAUUCACAAAUGAAAUACGGUCUUACUGCCACCUAUAGGUGGUGCGGCGUUGCAUUGGCUAGUUGGUAUGGUAACGGCUUACCAAGGCAACGUUGCAUAGCCGACCGGAGAGGGUGAUCGGCCACACUGGAACUGGGACACGCUCAGGCUUCCUCGGGGAGGCACCAGUAGGGAAUUUUCGGCAAUGGGCGAAAGCCUGACGGAGAAACGCCCCGUGAGUGAUGAAGGUCUUCGGUUCGUAAGACCUUUUUAUAGGGGAGGACCAUUGGUGUAAGUAACUGUGCACACUUUGACGGUACCUAAUCAGAAAGCCACGGCUAACUACGUG